CCAUAAUCCAAGGCAGGGAUGAGAAGUUUCAGAGAAAAGACAUCCCACCUGUCUUGGGAUAUGAGGACUGGAGGCAGCCUGGACUUGAAUGGUGGGAAGAUCAGAAUAAAUGAGAUAAACAGCCUGAAAGAAGCUGUGGGUGACUUAUUUCUUUGUCAGCAGAAGGAAAUCAAUGGAAAAGAACCUGCAGGACAGUGAAUCAUUGCACUUGCCCCAUGUCUGCAUCUCGCUUCUUGCAAGGAUCAAAAAUAAAAUGAAGAAGAAGGA
Lonchura striata (white-rumped munia) is the source of this 267-nucleotide long non-coding RNA. The record is from Ensembl. Lineage: Eukaryota; Metazoa; Chordata; Aves; Passeriformes; Estrildidae.